This 204-nucleotide ribosomal RNA is filed under the name Clonostachys rosea. RNAcentral describes it as "partial small subunit ribosomal RNA". It matches the Rfam family "Eukaryotic small subunit ribosomal RNA", at positions 1334 to 1562 of the family's 1831-position model. Lineage: Eukaryota; Fungi; Ascomycota; Sordariomycetes; Hypocreales; Bionectriaceae. The record is from RNAcentral.
AACGAGACCUUAACCUGCUAACUAGCCCGUAUUGCUUUGGCAGUACGCUGGCUUCUUAGAGGGACUAUCGGCUCAAGCCGAUGGAAGUUUGAGGCAAUAACAGGUCUGUGAUGCCCUUAGAUGUUCUGGGCCGCACGCGCGCUACACUGACGGAGCCAGCGAGUACUCCCUUGGCCGAAAGGCCUGGGUAAUCUUGUGAAACUC